CUCUGCUUCAGUCAAAUAAAAGCCAUCCAAGGAAGGAAAAGAGAAAGGAAGAUGGACCGAAUUCAGAAAUUUAAUUUCCCAAAAAUUCAGAAUCAAAAUAUUAAAUCCUAAUUUGACCCGGAGUCUUUGCUAUUUGCUGGUCCUUUUCCUUUUGCGAUUUGCUGUCCAUCUGAAUUAAUUCUAACACAACUUUCCAAGAUUGAAGAUUGGAGAAGAGCUUUAUUUAUUUAUAGCUCUAAAUUUGGCAAAAGAGCAACCGAGAAUUGAGUUAACACACACAAUUUUUUUAUGAUCUGUUUGGGAACAACAGCGAUUAUAGAAACUAGAAUUCUGGUGUUUCAUGUGAAGAAGAGAAACAGCCAUAGAAAACCAAAGCAGCUAUUCAUAGAAGAAGCGGAGGUCCAAUCCCAAUCCCAAACCCAAUUCAAGUCAUCGUCUUCGUCGUCAGCAUCAUCAGCAUUACUGCUGCUUCACACCAGAAGAUCAAGCCUCAAACCGAAACACCAAAUGGCGGCGGAGCGAGGCAACGAUGCGUCGUCGUCUUUGAUCUUAACUUCUGGGGCAAGUGGCCGCAUAAACGCCUUGUUCUCGCUGCGGGCGUUGCGGAGUCUGAUGAUGCUGAUUAAUGCCUUCUUCCUGCUCCUCCUGCUUCCCUUCCGCGGCCGCAAGCGAACGGCGUCGUCCUCCUCGUCUUCUUCUCCAUCGAUCAUUGCCUUGGCGGAGAAGUCGCCCAAGGACGAGAGGCAGCAGAGGGGGCCGGUAGUGCGGGUGCCGACGGCGAUUGUGCCCUGGAAGAGCAGCUCGUCGUCGCCGGUGGACCAGGAGGUGGCGGCAAGGAGAGCUUUAGCCAAGCUUAGAGUUGUCCAAGAUGAUGAUGAGAAUUCGGUCAGGCAAUUUUCCAUUUUUGGAACUCCAAGAGGUGAAACCCUUUUCACGCAGAGUUGGACUCCCGUUUCGGUUAACGUCAGGGGCGUUGUCAUUCUUAUGCAUGGCUUGAACGAACAUAGUGGCAGAUACAGUGACUUUGCAAAGCAGCUGAAUUCUAAUGGCUUCAAGGUUUAUGGAAUGGAUUGGAUUGGUCAUGGUGGGAGUGAGGGGCUUCAUGCAUAUGUUCCUUCUCUUGAUUAUGCUGUUACGGAUAUGAAAUCAUUUCUUGAAAAGGUUUUAGCUGAAAAUCCUGGCCUACCAUGUUUCUGUUUUGGACAUUCCACAGGUGCAGCUAUUAUACUUAAGGCAAUGCUUGACCCAAAAGUUGAGUCCAGCAUAGAAGGUGUGGUGCUGACAUCACCUGCAGUUGGGGUUCAGCCUUCGCAUCCAAUAUUUGUGGUAAUUGCUCCAAUUGCCUCAUUUUUGCUUCCAAGAUACCAGAUAAGUGCAGCAAAUAAAAAGGGCAUGCCCGUUUCUCGUGAUCCAGCGGCUCUAGUUGCCAAGUAUUCAGACCCUCUAGUGUACACUGGAUCAAUCCGUGUGAGGACUGGUUAUGAGAUUCUCCGAAUCACAUCCUACUUGCAGCAGAAUCUAAGCAAAUUGAGAGUCCCCUUCUUGGUUCUCCAUGGCACCGCUGAUACUGUUACUGACCCUGAAGCCUCCCAGAAACUGUACAAUGAAGCCUCCUCAACUGACAAAAGCAUAAAAUUGUUUGACGGGUUAUUACAUGACCUCCUCUUUGAGCCAGAACGAGAAGCUAUUGCCAAGGACAUUAUCGACUGGUUGAAUCAGAGAAUAUGAAGCUAGGUAGUCUAGUGGGAGAUCAAGAUUGAUAAGUUGUGGGACAGAAGGAAAUUGGGUACGAGUGACCAUUUUAUGGAUGCUAGAUGCUUUGCAUUGAAGCAGAAGAUAGAAAAUCUUAUGUGGCGGAAUAAAUUCAGCUUAUUGUGUUGAAACUUGAAACCUAACAAUGUGUUCUUCUUCAAUAUUUAAGACAUUAUCUGCAGUUGUAAAGGAGUGCCUCCUUAACAGUUUAUCUCUUCAUUUUCCUUGGAAAGAUGGGGUUGCUUGCUGGUCUGAAGCAUUUUCCUAUCAUAAUUGUUGGCUGGCAGACCAAUGGCCGUGAUCAGGUACAUGAUCCCACCAUAGCUGCUUCGCUUCGCUGAUGAUAAAGCAUGAUUGGGUUUCCUCAAUCCACAGUUAGAAUUUUGUGUUGUUUUCUCUACCUAGUUUUAACGGGUGAAGCAAAUUCGUAUAUUUAAACUUUCAAGGGAGGUCACCAAACAUUUUAGCUGUGGGUUAUAAUUAACAUGUAUUUGUUAAGGGGGUGAAUGAUUUAUGCCCCCACAAACCCAAGAAUUUUUUAUUUUCUUUUCUUCUCCGCUUCCAAUUGUUUAAGGGAGGUUUUCAACUUUAUCAAACUGGGCCAUAUGAAGUUAUCAACUUA
Prunus dulcis (almond) is the source of this 2374-nucleotide RNA transcript. It is a transcript of the gene named monoacylglycerol lipase-like, with no coding region annotated. The record is from RefSeq and is a predicted model, not a curated record. NCBI's taxonomy places the organism in Eukaryota, Viridiplantae, Streptophyta, Magnoliopsida, Rosales, Rosaceae. The transcript is spliced from 8 exons.